ACACUUUAAUGGGAGACAAUGAUGAUGAUUUUGAUAAAGAUGAAGCUUGUAGGUACUUAAAAAUCGGCUUACUUUGCACCCAAAGACUUCAAAAAAACAGACCAUCAAUGUCUAAUGUGAUGAUGAUGUUAAAUGAUGAAAAGGACCUUGAUGAAAAAGAUUUAUCUGAUCCGGGGUUAAUUUCAGAGUUAACAAAGUUUAAAUCCAAUAAAAAUAACACAUCAGGUACUGCUACAUCAUCUAGCCACUCGGGAAAACAAGAGGAUAAGGAUUCCUCAUUGUAUGGAGACACAACAUCAUCGUACGCUACUAUGAAUUUUACCACAAUUAUUGGUCGAUGAUUGUACGAUACACCAUUAUUAUGUCUUUUGUAUGGUAAUAAAUCUUCCUAUUCUAAUAAAUGAAUAUGUUUAUUCUUCUAUUGACAAGUAUUAUACUAUUAGAAUUUCUCAUUAAUAACUAUAUGUAACAUAUCAUGCCACUUGUCAAAUUAUUAAUUAUCAAUUUCAAAUUUCAAAUUUAAAUUUUCCACUCUAAUUACAUUAAAUCUUCCUAUUUUAAUAAAUAAAUAGGUUUAUUCUCCUAUUGACAAGUGUAAUAUUAUUAGAAAUUCUCAUUAAUAAUUAUAUGUAACAUAUCAUGCNAAUUAAUAACAUUAAAUUAAAAAAAUAAAAUAAAAUCAAUACAGACUAUAAGGUGAUAUAACUUUACAUAUUUGUUUAAAUCAACAAUUAUAAUUCUAUAUAAUUAAAAAAAUAUCUCUUAAGUAAUAAUUUAUUUGAAAUAAUUGAUUAUUAAUUUUGAUUUUUUAAUAUAAAAGUUUAAUUAAUUUUAUAACCGUGGUUCUCACGGGUUAUAAACUAAUUCUUUAUAAAGAAAAUGAAAAAAAAUGAAUAGUAAUUACAAGUUUGCCAUUUAGACAUCAUGCCAAGAGUGGUGGAGGAUUGUUGAUUUUUUUGGCCUCAUAUUCACUUAAUAUGUGAAUGUUAAACUGUGUCUUGCUUAUAGUAUUUUUAAGUGUUAGAUUGUUAGAUUCACAUUGUGAAAAUCGUCUAUAUUCACAUUUAGACACUCCGCCAUUUCUAUCCAGAUUUCCAUGUUUUGAAGCUCUAUUCCACCAUUUCCAAACAAAUCUUUGUAUAGAUGUGAAAGCAUUACGGUCACAAACUACUUCAAUUUAUGCUAAAAGUUGACCAAAUCCUUAGUCACUGAGAGAGGGAGUUGUACAUGGUGGUGCAAAUAUUAUGUACAGAGGUGGAAUCUGGCAGAAAGAUAAGGAACGGUGGUGUGAGUGGCCGAUGGUUAAGUUUCAUCAAACAAUGACAAGGAGUAUGCUCUAGUUUGGCCGAUAAUCAACUUUGUUUCUAUUUUGGUGCAUGGUGAAGAUACUGGAAUUCGAUUGAAGUAUUUUUCCCACUUUUAAACAACUGAGAGAGAGAGAGAGCCUUUUUUAUUUUUAAUUGAUUAAAAACAUUAAAAUAGGAAAAAAGAAAUCAUAAGGGCAAAAAAGUCAAUUUAAGUGCAAAAGGACUAAAUUCACUGAAAAGAUCUGAAAUUGGACCAUUUAUGCAUCACUAAACUUUUUUGGACAAAAACUACUACAAAGACUAUUUUUUCAAUUCUCAAAAAAAAUAUUUUGACAAAAUUGCAAAAAUGGUCCAUAUGUUUGUCAAAAUUAUAUGGUUUGGUCCAAAAACGUUUGUUGGUGCAUGAGUGGUCCAAUCUUGGAUCCUUUUAGUGAUUUUGGUCCCUAUACACUUGAAAUUACUUUUAUGCCCUUAUAAUUUAUAUUUUCUAUUUUCUUUAAGUGCUAAAAUGCUUUAAAUAAAUUAAAUUUUCUUUCAUUUAAUUAAAUAAAAUAAAAAUAAAAACUUAACCCACCAUCUCAUCCCUCUCAUAGUAUUGAGGAUGAGAGAAUCCCAAUCAUCACCACCUCUCUCCAUCACCGGUGUCUGUAACCACCGUCGGCGGCUUCCAUUCUCACCGGAGUUACCCGGUUCACGACCACCACCCACUUAUCUCUCUCCGCAUGACACCACUUAACUUUACUUCUUUCUAUCUUUUUCAAAACAAACACUAACACACGGUCUCAAGAACACAUGCUCACCAACUCAAGAACACCCACACCGGAAAACACCGACAACAAGCCGGAAACCAACACCACCCGCUCCCCUCCCAUAUCUAAACCUAGUAAUGCAAGGGGUGCUCAAACCUACAAAUUAAAACCAAACAUCAUGCCCAAAACAAACCCAGAAAUUAACCUCAUAAAUCAUUGAUGAAAUCAAAUCAAAUACCCAACUCUAUCUCUACCGAUAAGCAACCGAUUCAAGACUUAAUCUUCAUCAUUUUCUUCCUUAAUUUAUGUAACAGGCAAGCCAAAAGAACAUUAUCCCUUUCUUUUCCUACAACUCCAAUGAUUUCAGUAAAGUCAUCCGUCACCACCGUAUCCUCCACCACUACAAGCUACUUCCUAUAAAAUCUAUGAACCCCCUCGUUCUCUUUCCUCUCUUUCUUUACUCCGCUACCGACUUUUGAUUUUGGAUCCAGAAACCAAAUCGAAAACGAUUUUAAGAUUUGAUUUUAGUGGAAAUUUCGUGUAACACCCAGAAUUUGAGGAGCAACUUUGGAUAUAAAUCAACUUUUGGGGAUUGGACACGGCGUGUUGGAGGCACCAACACGACGUGUCGAGAUAAGAAAAUACACGGGUCUCAUUAAGAGCAACACGGUGUGUUGCCUCCUGGAACACAAUGUGCUGGUCGUUGGAAAUGAAACCCUAAUCUUUCGGGUUUGCUCUCUAUUUAAAGGAAUGAGAUGGCUAGGGUUUGUUCACCCUCAACCCUCAAGCCUUGAAGGAAAUUCUAAUCAUCAUUCCCUCUCAUUUGUGAGCUAGUGUAGUGUUUUGGAGCCAAGGAAGGAAGAUAUUGGAAGAAGGAAGGCAAGAUCCAGCAAGCAAGUCCCUCAUCUUUCAACUUGGCACCCUUCUGGACCUUUGUAAGCUUCCAAUAUCCGAUUUUUAUCAUUCCAUGUUGCUAGAUCUUGGGUUUUGUCCCUUAGCUUCUUAUUCUUGAGAGUUGGAAGGGUUAGAUCUCAUAAAGUUUGCAACAUUUUGGAAUCCCCAGGUCAAGGUGACCUUGUAGAGUAUUGGAUAUGGCUUAUAAUUGAGUUUUGAUGUCAUGCAUUGAGAUUAGUUAAUAAUUCUCAUUAUUGACCUGAUAUGGGUUCAAGACAUGCAUCGGACAUGCAUGUCUAUAACGCACCGACCUCUGGAUGGUUUUAGUGCUAGAACCUCUUCUGGAAAGUAUUGGGCAUCAACUUUAAGGAUUGAGUGCUUAUUGGUUAAGUCAUUGCACCUUCUAGCCUCAUAGAUGGGUUUUGGUCCCUUUGGAGUAGUCCUAGAGAAUAAAGUUGGAAACUUUAUCCUCCUUCAUAUUAUUUUGGUUUAGAUUUGAGCUUUGGAGCUUUGUGAAUCAAAGGAAAUAGGUUAAUGGAUUAAGCUGCUGGAACUUUGGCAGACACGGUGUGCUUGCAAGUCAACACGCAUGUUGGAUGGGGUUUUCCCGACUGUUUGGAUGCGGAAGGAACACGAUGUGUUUGCAAGGCAACACAACAUUUUGGAGUCAACAUGGAAUAUUGACUUUGACUUUUGACUUUGACCAAUUUUGACCUUGAGGGGCAUUCAGGGUAUUUUGGGAUUUUGAUGGUUAUUGGUCACUUGGAUGGAUAGGUAUUGAUUGGAGAUGAGAUUUGGAGUCGGGACCUUAUCAGCUAUAGAGCAAAUCAAGAGGUGAGUUUUCCUCGCUAUACUUUCGGGUCGAAUGCACCAAGGUCGGCCCAUUGGUUUGAUAACUUGAUAUUGUUGAUAUGCUGAGUACCAAAUACGAGCUGAGGACCCGGUGGUAUGCCAGACUCGUACUGAGGGCUUGAGGGUAUUGGAGAAAUCUAGAUAUGAGCUAAGGGUCGGGUCGGGUAGAGCAUGCCAGACUCAUACUGAGGGCUCAGUAGCAUUCCAGAUACGAGCUGAGGGUUGGUUGGUAUGCCAGACUCGUACUGCGGGUUGAACAUUGGAUGCCAGUCUAAUGACUGAUUGGGCUAGGGAGCAAGCCAGACAUAAUCUGUGGGCCCAAGGGCAAGCCAAACUUAUGUUGUAGGCUCAAGAGCAAGCUAGAUACGAGUUGUGGGCCCGAUAGGCAAGCCAGACUCAUAUUGUGGGCUCAAGGGUAAUCCAGUCUUUUAGCUGUGAACCCAAUACAUGUUGUUAUAUUAUGUGUGCUAUUUGAUGGUAUGUUGGUACUUUGGGGAAACUCCCUAAGCUUCGUGCUUACGGUUUUGGUUUAUGGUUUCAGGUACUUCAGUGGUCUGUGACAAGGAGAAGGCGUGAUUGUAUAUAUCCUCGUGUUUUUAGAACUUAUGAUUUCUGGAAAACUCUGACAAUGAAAAUGUUUUGAAAACUAUGUUGUAAACGAUUCCAAUUUUAAAUAAUGUUUUGGAUAAUAGUUUCUAGACACUUUUAUUAAUAAAGGGGUUAUUUUUUAAAGGUUUAAAUUUAUUGAAAUUUUUGGGAUGUUUCAUUUCGAUGUGGACUUUAAUUUUCAGAUUUAAGUUCAUCAGAAAGCACCGUUGUGGUGAAACGACUCAACCAUCAACAACCCUAUCGAUUGGGUAGAGGUCAAUGUAGGCGAAGAAGGAAAUGGGUGAAGAUGGAGGUUUGGGAUGGCAACCGUCUUGAAGGCGUAGGAGAUGAAAAUGUAUGCACUAGAAAAAUCUCAAUCGAAAAAGGUUGCUCCAACGAACUCGACAGCGGGGAAGCCAGGGUUCCAGCUGAAGAUUUGGUGGUGGCGGUGUGGGGUUGACUUUGUUUUUGGUGGCAGUGGUUCCAAUUGGGGAGAUAACGUCCAAGAGAGAGAUAGAGAGAGAAAGAGAGAUUUAUUUUGUUUGUGUUUUUUUAAAUUACAAGAAUAAAGAAAAUAAAUAAAUAAAUUGAAAAAUAAUUAUUUAAAGGGCAUAUUAGUCAUUUUAGGUUGGUGUGGACCAAAAAUACAAAAAAUACCAACUAUAAGGACUAAAGCCACACAAGGUAUUCAAAAUUGGACCACUGAUGCAUCACCAAAUCUUUUUAGACAAAAACUACAUAAUUUUGACAAGCACAGGGACCAUCUUUGCAAUUUUGUCAAAUAUUUUUUUCUCUAACCGGAAUGUUAAUUCCGGACUUGGUGUUUACUUUUGUCAAAAAUAAUUUUUUUUUGAUAGCAUGUGCUAAAAGAUUGCCAAGUCAUAUUUUUUUGGACACUAAGCAUAACAUGAUGAUAUGGAGUGGUGAUGUGUUUAAAAGGUAAUUCCUUUUUUUCUUUAAUUAAAUAAAUGUUUAUUUAAAUAUUUAAAUAACAUAAACUUUAAAAUAAAAUACAAGUUGCUAAGCUGGAAGUACAUGCAUCUAAAGCUGGAAUAAUGAAAAGGUGAGAUGAGACCAUUUUUUUUCCUCAUCAUGUACUCUUUCUUCUCGUCAAGGGUAUGACGCACAUGAUUUAACAAAUGGGUUUAGCGAACUCUUCGGAUGUAGUAGUGAGGAUGCCACAUAAGCUUAGCGAGGGAGUGGCGACCACUCCCUUUAGCCUAAUAGAUUAAUUUAGAGUAAAUUAAUCGCCUCAUAGAGUUUACAAUAUAUUCCCCAUUUGGUGAUACGGUGAAAUUCAUGACAAGGAUUUAUAUGGCCGCUCAUAAAAUAUUCCUAGUUGACACGUGAGAAUUAGAAAAAAAAAAUAAUAAAUAAUAACCCAAUAGCCCAAAUGAAAUAAAAUUGAAAGGAGAAAUCAUGAUGGGAAUCGUUUGAUUUCAUUUGAUCAUAGGAUCGAAUGUUGAGAAUUAGAAAAAAAUAAUAAUAAUAACAACCCAAAAACCCAAAUAAAAUAAAAAGGAAAGGAGAAAUCAUAAUGGGAAUCGUUUGAAUUUCAUUUUAUUUUAUAUAUGAUCGAAUGUUGAGGAUUAGAAAAAAAACAAUAAUAAAUAAAUAGCCUAAAACCCAAAUAAAAUAAAAAGGAAAGGAGAAAUCAUGAUCGAAACAUUAUUGUGGUCGUACUAGUCGUCUACUGUAAUCCUGAGGAGCGUGGGACCUGUUCUUCAACGCACACCCUGCGAGCUACUGGUCUACCUGUUCGCAAAAAGUCAAAGCAAGCUUUCGUGUUCAAAGUCUUCUAUCAUUCUUCCAUCUCCUUUAUUGACAUUUCUCUUCUUCACACGCCGAUGAACUUGAUAACAUUCCUUUGGUCAGUUCUGUUGUUCAUAUGCUUCUUUAAUCGAUUUUAUAUUCCUUUCCUUUUUCUGUAUUCAAAUUCAUAACAAAUUUAGCUCCAUCGAUUUCAUACUUCUACUUCUCUCAUGUGUAUGUAUCUACCCUACAACGGAUGAACUAUAUCUUGUGAUUCAUUUACAGAGCUUAUUGUCUAGAGAAUUUUGCAGACUUUGAGCGCAAUCCGGUUUUGAACUGUACGGAGCUUGUCGAGAAGUGAUAUAUCGCCCUUUUGGUUUUAAAUCCAUCCAGGAUCCUGAACUUGAUGUAAUUGCCCUAAUUUUGAGAUGAAUUUCAUUCCGUUUAUGUUGUUGUUGCCCUGAAUUUGAAUUUUCGUGGCAUGAUGAGAUAAAUUAGUACUUAAGGUUGAUGAUCUGUGAUAAAUCUUCUGCUUAUGAUUUAUAUUUUCAUCUUCAGUGAUACAUUAGAAUUGUUUUGUGUAUACAGAUUCAUUUUGGCGUCUCAGGCAAUUGAUAGAAUCUACUAGUCAGCAUAGAGAACUCCUUGUUAUGGAUAAAUUCAGUUGUUGUUUUUGGAAGGCAGCUCCCCCCAAAAAUGGUGUUCAUGGUAAAAUCUUAACUUGAGAGUUUCAUAACUCCUUUUUUCCACUUACAUAUUCUUGUUCAAUGCUAAUCAUUUUCUUGAAAAUUCUCAGCAAACAAUGGGGGAAGCAACAUUGAUCUUAGUGUAGGUAAGACCACCUCUAAAAGAUCAUUGGCAAAAACCUUGGUUUUGGUUUCAUAAGAAUUGUUGUGACUUUACACUUUACAUCACAUAUACUUAUUUGAAUGCAGAACUUUUGGAUGUUGAAAAUAUGAGAUUGUAUAAAUACAAAGAUUUGCAAAUCGCUACUGGAGAUUUUAAACCUGAAAAUAAGAUAGGGCAAGGGGGUUUUGGUUCUGUUUACAAGGUAAAUUUCAAAAUUUUCUAAUCAUUUUCCUUCAUGUGUUUAGAUUAUCAUUAAACUACUUACUAAUACCUUAAAUAUAAAUUUGUUAAUCUCUAGGGAUUACUAAAAGAUGGAAAAAUAGUUGCUAUAAAGGUUCUUUCUGCUGAAUCAAGACAGGGUUUGCGAGAAUUCUUGACUGAAAUAACUAUUAUUUCAGAUAUACAACAUGAAAAUUUGGUAAAGUUACAUGGUUAUUGUGUGGAGAAAGAUCAUAGAAUCUUGGUUUAUGGGUAUCUCAAAAACAGUAGUCUAGAUCAAACCCUACUUGGUAAUUGAAAUUCGACACAUCUUUUUUCAUCCUUUGUAUUUUUUUUUUAAAUGAUUUUGGUUUUUUGUUAUAGGGGGGAAUCAUUGUAGCAUUAAAUUCACAUGGGAAAUUCGAAGGAAGAUUUGUAUAGGUGUUGCAAAAGGGCUUACUUAUCUUCAUGAAGAAGUGCAACCUCAUGUCAUUCAUAGAGAUAUUAAAGCAAGCAAUAUUUUACUCGAUGAAGAUUUUACACCAAAGAUUUCGGAUUUUGGUCUUGCAAAGCUUUUCCCAUCUCAUUUGACUCAUGUUAGCACACGUAUUGCUGGAACUCAGUAAGCUUUAUUUACAUCUUAAAAACAUAAUAUCACUUCCAGAUAUUAUUAAACAUUUCCACUAAUGUUUUGGUAAUGACUUAUUGUAGAGGCUAUUUGGCUCCUGAAUAUGCAAUAAGAGGCCAAUUGACAAGGAAAGCAGAUAUUUACAGUUUUGGUAUUUUGCUUUUGGAAAUUGUUACCGGAAGACCCAAUCAAAACAAACGGUUACCAGUUGAAGAACAAUAUCUUCUUGAAAGGGUAUGCAAUGUUUUAUUUACUUUCCUACUACAACAUGAAAUUUCUCAUUUAAGUAAUUGCUAUUAGCAUGAAACUUUCACACCUAUCUUUAGCAUACACACAAUAUUCACAAAGGGAACAAAGAAUUGUUGAUAUUGAUUUGGGUCCACAAGAUUCUUUUAUUGUGUCAUUAUGAAAACCAAAUUCAUCAAAUUCAAUAGUACAUUUAUUAUCACGAGUAAAUUUUCCGACAUAAAUGAGAUUUUUAAUUAGUUAAGGGGUUAUGAGAACGUUUUUUAGGGAUCGUGACCAAGGUUAGUGUUACCCGAGUGAGUAACAGGAAUUCGAGAUCCAUCACCUACUAAAAAUUACUAAAAGUGGAAAAAAAAUUGCACUUGUUGCUAGAAUAUACAACAUAAAUACAUCUAAUAGGUACAUUGUAGGAAAUAAAAAUGCACUUCACUCUUUUCAUAAUUAUAUGCAAUAUACUUCAUUUUUUUUAAUCUAUAAUAGCAAUGCACUUAUAUUAUUUCCCGAUAGUAGUAAUAUGUAAUAUGAAAUUCGUGAAAUGUAUUUAUUUUUUACCCAUAACAACAACAUACUUACAUUUCUUUACACAUUUAGGUGAUAUUUGUUUUUCGAAGCUAAAAUGUCUGUAGUCUGCGGACCACAUCUGCAACCCUUUGCAGCGAAGUGGUGGACCAAACGUCUACAAACUACAAUAAGAAGUUUGUUUGUUUUUUUAACGUCUACAGGCUGCUGAAAUAAAAAGAAAUUAACCAUACAAUAGUUAAAAAAAAAAUCUAAAUCAAAUAUUUAUUUAGUUUUAAUCAUAUGCAAAUCGAAUAUAAAGAUCAUUAUGAUGAUAUGAUUUGUAAAGACGUUUGUAUAAAAUAACUAAACAUAAUAAUUGCUAAAUAACAAUAAAUAAAAUUAUUAAUUUAGCAAACAACAUCUUCAUUUUGUUAAAUUUUCCAAAACGAUGGUUAUUUCUUUGGUACCUUCAAUAGAUUUGGUAAUUUUAGUGAAUAACUUUUUAAUUUAUUUGGUUAUAGACAAUGUAACACAACAAAAAUGUUAUAUAAAAUUUACCAAACGGUUUUGAAAUUAUGUAAAGUAUAUAUUUGCAUUGUUUAUAAUAUACUUCAUAAUAUUAUUAAAUUAAUAAACAUGUUGAAAAUUUAAAACAAAUUUAUAUUGAAUAAUAUAACUUAAAGGUGGGAAGUGGCUUUGACGAGGAGGGUCCAGUGUUGCGCGAUGCAGCACAUGCGCAACAGUUUUUAAGUCAAGAGUCUUUUAAAAAACAAACAACUGCGAAAGGCCAAAUGUUGCACGUGUUUUGUGUGGCGCAGCCAGAAGUGAUCAGAAGUGGUUUUUAAAAAAACAAACAAACAGCUCCUUAUUCUUUAUAGCAACGUACUUAUAAUUCUUUAUUCUUUAUAGCAAUUUACUUACAUUUUUUAACCGAUAGUGGCAAUAUUUAACAUGAAACUCGAAAUAUACUUAAGUUUUUGCCCAUAAUACCAAAUACUUACAUUUCACUACACAUGAUAGCAAUGUAUUUAUAAUUCUUCACUCAUUAUAGCAAUGUAGUUAUAUUUAUUUAUUUAUUUUAAUAUAUUUUUUUUCAGGUAUGGGAACUAUAUAGGGAAGGGGAGCUAGAAAGGUUGGUUGACACUUCAAUGGAAGAUAAUGAUGAGGAUUAUGAUAAAGAUGAAGCUUGUAGGUACUUAAAAAUUGGGUUACUUUGCACCCAAAGUCUUCCAAAAAACAGACCAUCAAUGUCUAGUGUGAUGAUGAUGUUAAAUGACGAAAUGGACCUUGAUGAAAAAGAUUUAUCUGAUCCAGGGUUAAUUUCAGAGUUGAAAAACUUUAAAUCCAAUAAAACUACCAACACAUCAGGUAACAACACAUCAUCUAGUAACUCAGGAAAACAGGAGGAUAAGGAUUCCUCAUUGUAUGGACACUC
Molecule: long non-coding RNA, 9999 nt
Filed under: Lactuca sativa (garden lettuce)
Lineage: Eukaryota; Viridiplantae; Streptophyta; Magnoliopsida; Asterales; Asteraceae
Description: long non-coding RNA (LSAT_LNC007671)
Source: RNAcentral